RNAcentral lists this ribosomal RNA (749 nucleotides) under Bacillus licheniformis. Its description in RNAcentral is "bacterial SSU rRNA". The stretch from base 138 to 749 matches the Rfam family "Bacterial small subunit ribosomal RNA", at positions 874 to 1462 of the family's 1533-position model. The record is from RNAcentral. Lineage: Bacteria; Bacillati; Bacillota; Bacilli; Caryophanales; Bacillaceae.
GGGGGGCGAACCAGGGAAUUAGAUUACCCCUGGUAGUUCCAGCGCCCGGUAAAAACGUAGGAGGGCUACAGGUGGUAGGAGGGGUUUCCGCCCCUUUAGGGGCCGCCACCAAAAGCGCCAUUAAAGCAAUUCCGCCUUGGGGAGUAACGGGUCGGCAGGAAUUUGAAACUUCAAAGGAAAUUUGACGGGGGGGCCCGCCACAAGGCGGUUGGAAGCAUGGGGUUUAAAUUUGAAAGGCAACGGGGAGAAACCCUUACCCAGGUUCUUGACAUCCCUUUGAAAAACCCUAAGAGAUAGGGCUUUCCCCUUCGGGGGGCAGAGUGACAGGUGGUGCAUGGUUGUCGUCAGCUCGUGUCGUGAGAUGUUGGGUUAAGUCCCGCAACGAGCGCAACCCUUGAUCUUAGUUGCCAGCAUUCAGUUGGGCACUCUAAGGUGACUGCCGGUGACAAACCGGAGGAAGGUGGGGAUGACGUCAAAUCAUCAUGCCCCUUAUGACCUGGGCUACACACGUGCUACAAUGGGCAGAACAAAGGGCAGCGAAGCCGCGAGGCUAAGCCAAUCCCACAAAUCUGUUCUCAGUUCGGAUCGCAGUCUGCAACUCGACUGCGUGAAGCUGGAAUCGCUAGUAAUCGCGGAUCAGCAUGCCGCGGUGAAUACGUUCCCGGGCCUUGUACACACCGCCCGUCACACCACGAGAGUUUGUAACACCCGAAGUCGGUGAGGUAACCUUUUGAGCCAGCCGCAGAAGU